AGGAUCAUUUUUGUAGUAAAUGAUCAAUGAACAUCAGCUAAUUGAUGAAUCGAUUCAGCCAUGAUGACGAGUCAUGGCACCCUUUCCUGAGCGUGAGGAAGACUCGAGAAGUUGACUUUGUCUCACUUUCUCAGUCAUCGAUGAUCGUUCACCCCAUGCACUUAGUACAUGGGGGAUGGAAAGGGUGCUUUCUGAGUGGUUUUGUUAUCAAAAUAUUAAACUUAAAUUACUUUAUAAAAGGGAGUAGGAAGUUCAAGUAAAAUAGAUUGAAAAUAAAUUAAUUAUAAAUUUUAAAAGACUUGAAAAGUUAUCUUUGAUCCGGAUUGAAAAUUCACAACUUAUCAGUUCGACAGGAAAACAUAUGGUAAUUUAGCCUUCUUCUCUAUUGAAAUUAUAAACAACAAAGGGAUAAUCUAUGAUAUUAUUUAUAACAAAUAAUAGGUUUUGAAACGUUAAUAUUGGGAAGUGAGAACGAAUGAAUUAGUAAAAUUGGCUGGCACAAGUGAAAAGUUGUAUAAUUUAAAAAUAAGAUUCUACGGGAGCUAUCGUGGAAACGAUGAUUGGUUAAUUUUAAAAUGAUCGCAGAAAGUUCUUUAAUUAAUGCUGGGACACUUCUCGCCGUGGAAGCAGCGAACUUCCGCUAGCCAAACUUUCCAGCAUCCUUCCAAUUAGUUGCAAAGUAGAGAAAACAUGUAAACCGUUCGGAUGAGGAUAUCACUUGCAUCAAAGAAGAAGGAAAAAUAAUGAUCUUCAAAUAUUUUCCUCGGAAAAAUCUAUUAUAAAUUUAUGAAUAUACAAUAAAUAAUAAUAAUGAAUAUUAAUUUUACAAUAUAAUAAUAAAAUAAUUAUACAAUUUUAUUUCCUAUUCAAAUUUUAUAAGGUAGAAAUCAUGCAAUUUUCAUUUUUGUUAUUUUAUCGAAUAAACUUUGUUUCAAUAGUUGAUUGCAAUCCAGUCUUAUAGACGUUAAGCUGAAAAGCUAACAAUAAAAAUACGAAAAGAAGGGAUGGAUAAAGGAUUGAAGAGAAAAAUAAAAUGGUAGAAAAGAAUCGAAAGAAGGCAAAUAGAAACAAGACUGUUCGAAUAUAGUAACGUUGAACUGGAAAGAAGCACAAAAAUCAGAAACCUGUAAUAAGAUGGAGAAACAAACGCAAGUAAAGAUUCGACAAACAUUGCCGUUAGCAACGCUUGAUAAAACAACGCCGAAAAACAAAUGAGUAAAACGGAUGUAAAAUAAAUAAAGAAGAAACUGUGACAGUUUCAGUGAAUAAAUCUCAAAGAAAAGUAAAAGGUCUGAACAAAAAGGAAUAGAACAGAAGAUAUGUUUUAUAUUAAGGACAAGUAAUUAAUCGUUAUUUUUAGAUUUAUGAUAGGAAAAAAGAUCAGAACCGGAGGAACAAUUUUUCCACCUUUCAAUUAAUUGCUUAUUUUAUUCAAUCUUUUUUUUCUAAUUACACGCUGAAUUUUUGUACUUCUUGAAUUUGAUUUGCUAGAAUAUCUUUUUCCGAUUUGAAAACAAUUUUAUAACAAAUUGCAAUUGACGUCAAUUUAUAAGUUAUUUCUAUUAAAAAAUAUAUUUUCUAAGACAUCUAGCUUGUAAAAUUUUGCGCUAAAAAAUGCACAGUAAUUUAUUUUAACAAGUCUUCUGAUUUUCGUUUCUGUGACUGAUCUAGCUUUUCAAAUAAUAAUCAGGACAACAAAUAUAACCAAAAUGACAAUUAAUUAUUAUGUCAUAUCACAAAUUGGAUCGAUUUAACUGGUCCGGAAUAAAGGACAUAACGUCUAUGAAUAUAAUUGGCUGCGACCACCAAUUGAUUAACGACACGUCUAUUUGUUUAAUAGAUAUUGCGGUUAUCUCUGCGAAUAUUAUUGAACUCGAAUGUAACGAGACAACAACGAUGAAACUUGAAUGAUUAAUUAACACGUGAUCAACUUUUUGACACGUUUCAAUAUUGGAUGCCAUUUAGUGAAAUGUAUUUUACUGUAAAGUAAUUAAAAUAUACGUUUCAUGUCUGGAUAUCAAUGAAAUAUUUCAAUUUAUUAAGAUCUGAAAUUGUACACAUACCUACAGUAUGUACAUGUGUAUGGCUCCACUUUUUAUUUAGAAAAUAUUUAAAAUCAAAUUACAAACAUACUUAAAAUUUAAUGUCAAAUACAUCACAAAUAUGGUUUAAUUAUAAAUGUACUUCAAAUUAAAUUACAAAUUACUACACUAUAGUUAUUACAUCAAUUUUCAAAAUCAAAUAGCUGCACUUUUAACAUUUUGCCAAUUUCUCAAUUACCACUCCAAUUAUUGCUAUAUAAAAAUCUACUCUCCAAUCAAAUAGGUUCCAAGAAAAUCCGCAUCAGUCUUCCAAACAGAAACACUACCCUGCAUUUUCAUCCCCUUUUAUAAAAUCUCAGAAAAGUCCCCAAAUUGCUGAACCACCUACGAAAUAAUGAAAAUCCAGCCUCACCAAACAAACAGCCGAAACACUGCAAAACAAACGACAAAUAGAAGGUGCGAAACGAGUUGCAGAGUAACAAAAAGCAGUCGAAAAAGAGGGCAAAAAGAUAGAAAGCCGAAAGGCAAUGGGAACAAGGGGUGCGUACACAAUGGUGGAAAGUGGAUGCUUGUAAGUGUAAUGUAUGUUCGCAUUGUUUACCGGCGUCUUGGCACGUCGCUGUGGGCCAUUGCACGCGGCCAAACAAGCGGCACACGUGUCCACCCACUGGUGCGUGCGGGUUACUCAGCGACGCCCACGCGUCCACCCGCGUCCACUCGCGUUUCGACGCCGAACAGCGAAAACACCAGCGACGAAACCGUUCGCUGAACCACUGGCACUGUCGUUCGACUAAUUCGCCGUUGUGUCAUGCAAAUGCCACUGACGAAAGAACCGGGCCACCGUGACCGGAUCGCUCGAGCAUUGUUAUCAUUGCCGUCAUGGAUAGACGAGUAAAUUGAACGUUGGUGCUCCGUGUAUCGAGCAAAUUCGGCAGGGUUAUUCGAAAAAGAUAAUACGAAUAGUAUUAAUAGCAGAACACGAGAAAUCUCUAUAAUCUUAAUACAGUAAUGUAUAAGUAACUAGAAUUUGAAUUAUAUCGUGACAAUAAGAUACCUACGGGUAUACGUAAUAUGCAAUUGUGUGGUAAUAUUAAUUGAAAGUGACACUAACGUUGACAAAAGUGUUGACGUGUUUUUGAUAAUUGCAAGGAAAAAAGAACUGAUAAGUGAAAAUUGAAUUAGGUGUUAUCUGUGGGUAGGAGCUGCCUUAGACUGGAAAUAUGGUCGAAAAAAUGAGAAAAAAGAGAAAUUAGUAUCAGAACUAUAGAAUCUGGAAUAAUUAAUUGAUUCAUAUUUUAUUAUAUACUAAUGUCGUAGUAGUAAAUAAUUGUGGUAUAUUCAAGAAUUACUAUACGCGUGUAUAUUCAUAACUAUUUAAAAAAGAUGAUGUAGGGCAGAGAAGUAAUUAUCAAAUAAUAGAACGGCUUCUAUAGAAUAGUUCUUGAGCCAACAAGAAAAAGAAUAUCUUCAAAGAAAUUUCUUUGGCGGAUUUCUUUUCUUUUUUACUCUAAAGUACAACACUCUAAAAGUUGCGUUUCCAGGACGCAAUAAAAUCUAAAUCCGAACGAGAAUUCGUUAUACGCAGUUCAAUGAAAUUCUCCGUCCGAAGUUUCAACAAAUUCCAUCGUGUCAGAGUAUCUGAUGAAUUGUUUAUUCCAAUUUCGUUCGACGCGUGGAAUACAACGGAAAGUAGCCGGGUACGAUCGUUGAACUUUCGUUGUUUUGAGAGCACGUUACGCGGAUGAUGGAAACAGGAACUUUCUGUAGAAAUUUUUUUUUCCGUCUAGGCAACUGUCAGCGACAAGAGCUGCAACUGUUAAUUAAUUGUUGAAUCGUAGCUAGUGGCCGGUCCUAGUAGCUAGUGGCAGAUUCAAUCCUUUAAUUAAAAUGCAAUCACGUCGACUCCUGCAACUUUGCCACGAUGUUUUCAUCCCUAUGUCUGCAGUUACGGGUUAAGAGUUACCAUGCGUUUUGAGAUCAACGUAUACUGAAAGAAAAAAAGCUAACAACGGGAGCGAUAUAAUCUUCUAUAUCAUCUUCUAUGAUUUCUGAAAGUAGGAAAGAUAGCUAUUCAUUUUUCAGCCCAAUGACCUUAGUACUUUUUUUGUAGAGAACUAAAAAAUGUACUGAAUGGUGUGGAAAAAAUGUAUGGUUCCAUUUAAGAAACGCUAUUCAAUUACCUUGUAUAUUAUCUGUGAUUUUACUACAAUAUCUUUCUAUAGUUACAUAACGCAUAAAAUCAUUCGACACUAGUUCAAGAUCCUCCUCAUAGGUGGCCAAGCAGUUAAACGAGUUCCCGCAGUAGAAAAAGUACACAGGCCAUUAGAAAUAGGCAUCGUCGUCGCUGUGAAGUUUAGAAUCAUACUUUUCAGGAUCAUUUUUGUAGUAAAUGAUCAAUGAACAUCAGCUAAUUGAUGAAUCGAUUCAGCCAUGAUGACGAGUCAUGGCACCCUUUCCUGAGCGUGAGGAAGACUCGAGAAGUUGACUUUGUCUCACUUUCUCAGUCAUCGAUGAUCGUUCACCCCAUGCACUUAGUACAUGGGGGAUGGAAAGGGUGCUUUCUGAGUGGUUGUUUAUA
Long non-coding RNA from Bombus huntii, 4620 nucleotides. RefSeq lists it as uncharacterized. The record is from RefSeq and is a predicted model, not a curated record. The transcript has 2 exons. Lineage: Eukaryota; Metazoa; Arthropoda; Insecta; Hymenoptera; Apidae.